RNAcentral lists this ribosomal RNA (468 nucleotides) under uncultured eukaryote. RNAcentral describes it as "SSU rRNA". It matches the Rfam family "Eukaryotic small subunit ribosomal RNA", at positions 139 to 613 of the family's 1831-position model. The record is from RNAcentral.
AUGGAUAACCGUAGUAAUUCUAGAGCUAAUACAUGCUGUAAAACCUGACUUUUCGGAAAGGUUGUAUUUAUUAGAUAUCAAACCAAUAAUCUUUCGGGAUUAUUGUGAUGAUUCAUAAUAACUGAUCGGAUCAAGGUGUACCUUGAUAGAUCAUUCAAGUUUCUGCCCUAUCAGCUUUCGAUGGUAGUGUAUUGGACUACCAUGGCAGUCACGGGUAACGGAGAAUUAGGGUUCGAUUCCGGAGAGGGAGCCUGAGAAACGGCUACCACAUCUACGGAAGGCAGCAGGCGCGUAAAUUACCCAAUCCUGAUUCAGGGAGGUAGUGACAAGAAAUAACAACUCGGGGCCUCACGGCUUACGAGAUUGCAAUGAGAACAAUUUAAAUCUCUUAGCGAGGAACAAUUGGAGGGCAAGUCUGGUGCCAGCAGCCGCGGUAAUUCCAGCUCCAAUAGCGUAUAUUAAAGUUGU